This 448-nucleotide ribosomal RNA is filed under the name Anisopteromalus calandrae. RNAcentral's name for it is "eukaryotic LSU rRNA". The record is from RNAcentral. Lineage: Eukaryota; Metazoa; Arthropoda; Insecta; Hymenoptera; Pteromalidae.
UCGACAUUUCGAACGCACAUUGCGGUCCUCGGAUUUGAUUCCCGGACCACGCCUGGCUGAGGGUCGUUUAUGAUAAAAGUACCAGACUGCUUUUGUGUGCGCGUGCGUACCGCAUGAGCGAUAGCCUGAGCGUUCGUUGCUGGAAUGAGAGAAAAUCGUUUACGAUGUAAACGUUCUUUCACAAAGCGGCGUCGCUCGAAACGAAUUGUCAUUUAUAAUUUCGAAUGCAGCGACGAUGAUAAAGCCACAGUAAGCGCUCGAACGGGAUAAACGUUUUCGAGGAGCAAAUAUCGUCGAGUCCCGGAGCUCUUGCCCGUUGAGAACGGGCCGGGCGGACCGACGAUGGCUUUUAUGCAUGCUUCUCGCUUACAUAGCUUACUAGUGUAUGUUGUUGUUGCGCGCAAUCGAACAUAUAUUUAUAAUACGACGACCUCAGAGCAGGCGAGAC